Long non-coding RNA from Mercenaria mercenaria, 517 nucleotides. RefSeq lists it as uncharacterized. The transcript has 4 exons. Lineage: Eukaryota; Metazoa; Mollusca; Bivalvia; Venerida; Veneridae. The record is from RefSeq and is a predicted model, not a curated record.
AAUUCAAGUAAAUAUUUAUCAUUCUUAUAUUACAGGAGGAGAUACGUAAAUGCUUAAGCAACGAAGGUUAUAACAAUGAUGCACAUGCGCUUCGUGUAAUGCUUAAAUAUGCAUACCAGCAGUUUACAGAGUUCAGAAGCAAGUUUAAGAGCAUGGUUUUGGAUGGCUUUAAGAACAAGCACUUUCGAACUUUGGAUGUAAAAGAUCUGUGCCAGAAACUGUUCAAACGUUAUUCUUCUGGCCAGAGUACCUGUAGUGAAGAUAGACUACACACAACUUUGAUAGUGAGGAGGUUUAUGUACAUGAGGGAGAGAGAAGGUGCAGGGGAGAGGGAGAACACUAGUUUCUGCCAGAGUUGAAAAAGUUUUGGAAGUCAGUCGAGGAGGAGCAGACAGAGGAGAAGUGGAGGGGGAUAGAGGAGAGUGACAGUCGGAGAGUUGCACGUGCACGUGCAGCCCUCCGAGACAGGGAAACUUGAAUUUAUUGUAAAAAUAGAAAAAAUACAUUGAACAUAAGA